UACGGAGGGUGCAAGCGUUAAUCGGAAUUACUGGGCGUAAAGCGUACGCAGGCGGCUGUUCAAGUCGGGUGUGAAAGCCCAGGGCUCAACCCUGGAAAUGCGCCCGAGACUGGAUGGCUUGAGUGCGGGAGAGGGAAGCGGAAUUCCUGGUGUAGAGGUGAAAUUCGUAGAUAUCAGGAGGAACACCGGUGGCGAAAGCGGCUUCCUGGCCCGACACUGACGCUCAUGUACGAAAGCGUGGGGAGCAAACAGG
Molecule: ribosomal RNA, 253 nt
Filed under: uncultured bacterium
Lineage: Bacteria
Description: partial 16S ribosomal RNA
Rfam family: Bacterial small subunit ribosomal RNA
Source: RNAcentral